Molecule: ribosomal RNA, 799 nt
Filed under: uncultured Bacillota bacterium
Lineage: Bacteria; Bacillati; Bacillota
Description: bacterial SSU rRNA
Rfam family: Bacterial small subunit ribosomal RNA
Source: RNAcentral
CCGCGGGAUUGAGUUUGAUCCUGGCUCGGAUUACGCUGGCGGCGUGCAUAACACAUGCAAGUCGAACGAUGAAACUUAGUAGACUUCUUCGGAAAGACACUAAGCGGAUUAGUGGCGAACGGGUGAGUAACGCGUGAGUAACCUGCCUUACACAAGGGGAUAGCCUUUGGAAACGAAGAAUAAUACCCUAUAAAACCAUAAAAGCACAUGCUAGAAUGGCCAAAGUGCUAGCGGUGUAAGAUGGACUUGCGUCUGAUUAGCUAGUUGGUGAGAUAAAAGCUCACCAAGGCAACGAUCAGUAGCCGGCUUGAGAGAGUGUACGGCCACAUUGGGACUGAGACACGGCCCAGACUCCUACGGGAGGCAGCAGUGGGGAAUUUUGCACAAUGGGGGAAACCCUGAUGCAGCGACGCCGCGUGAUUUAGAAGGCCUUCGGGUUGUAAAAAUCUUUUGUAUAGGAAGAAAAUGACAGUACUAUACGAAUAAGGUCCGGCUAAUUACGUGCCAGCAGCCGCGGUAAUACGUAAGGACCGAGCGUUGUCCGGAAUCAUUGGGCGUAAAGGGUACGUAGGCGGCUAGAAAAGUUAGAAGUCAAAGGCUAUAGCUCAACUAUAGUAAGCUUCUAAAACUAUUUAGCUUGAGAAAUGGAAGGGAAAGUGGAAUUCCUAGUGUAGCGGUGGAAUGCGCAGAUAUUAGGAAGAAUACCGGUGGCGAAGGCGACUUUCUGGCCAUUAUCUGACGCUGAGGUACGAAAGCGUGGGUAGCAAACAGGAUUAGAUACCCUGGUAGUCCACGCCGU